This is a long non-coding RNA of Rattus norvegicus (Norway rat), 1373 nucleotides long. RefSeq lists it as uncharacterized. NCBI's taxonomy places the organism in Eukaryota, Metazoa, Chordata, Mammalia, Rodentia, Muridae. The record is from RefSeq and is a predicted model, not a curated record.
UUUAUAAAAAUCAUCUUUCUUUUAUAGGUGUAUGCAUGUCUGUGUGCCCUGUGCUUUCCCAAUGCCAGCAGAAGCCAAAAGAGAGCACUUGAUCGUCUGGAACUGGGGUUACAGAUGGUUGGAAGCUUAUAUGGGGUUUAGGAAUUGAACUUGGGUCCUCUGGAAGAGCAGCCAGUGCUCUUAACUGUUGAGACAUGCCUCCAGUUACACACACACACACACACACACACACACACACACACACACACACUUUUAUUUUUAAAUGAGACAAGAUGGAAUGUAUACUAUGCUGGCCUUGAACUUGUUCUGUAGCCAAGAAUGACUUUGAAGUUUUGAACCUCUUACCUCUACCUAGUUGCUCCCAUGCCUGUUUUGUGUAGUGCUGAGGAUCACACUUAGAGCUUUAUGCAUGUUAGGCAAGCAUGCUACCUUUGUUACAUCACCCACCCUUUGGCCCACUCUUGAUGGCAUGUUGCUUUCCAGCAGAGAUCAUAGUUGAGAAAGUUUCCUCUACACCAGGGAAACUUUUAAACAAAACAAGAGCUUGCCAUUCUUAUUCCAAGACUGUCCCCUACUUUAACAUUCUCCGGAGUAGAAAAAUGGCCACACACUGUGAAAAGGAGAAGAUUCUUUAUCGUCUGGAUUUUGUCAGGGGAAAAGAAUCACCUAAGAUGUAAUUGCCUGCUCUAUCACACACAUCAAGCCGGCUGCGAGGCUGCGUCCGAUCACUGGAUUAGCGGCUCAUUGCUCCCCCCCGCACCGGACAGCUCGCUCAAGUGUUGUCUUCUGUUGGAGAAUGGGCUUCCGAUUUAAAUGCCUCUGCAGUUUUGUUUACAUUUCUCAGAGAUUCCACUCAGAUCCGCAGAGGACCGGGAGAAAGGCAAUAACAGCCUCGGUCUCAUAUCAGCCCAACGUUCUGUCUCUUAUCUCCCAAUAGCACAAAAGGUGACCCCAGUGGAAAUGCAAAGUAGAACCUUGAGUCAUUACGGAGGCACUGGUGAUAAACACUCCCCCAUCUUAAUUCAGGAGCAUCCCUACCGCCAGGCUGGGAGAAUGCAAAAGACUUCUGUUACCCAGAGCAACGUUUGCUCUGACCCGUGACCAUAAAAACAUCCAUGAUUCAUCCCACUGACAGCACGUGACCCUGUCAGCUCCUCCGGAGAGAACGGGAGGUCCACUUCAUGCCACUCGGUUUUCCCAGACAGUUCCUCUAGAUCUUCAACCUCUGAAUGCCUUUUUCAAAAUAUGUGGGGGGAGGGGUGAAGAGACACGUGAAUUGCUGGUCACAUCAUUGAGUUCCAUCUUCAGUGAGAGACCUUUUCCGAUUUGUCCUUCAUACCUGUCCUUCAUAAAUACAGCCUCAUUUAUUCCAA